This 60-nucleotide transfer RNA is filed under the name Paraechinus micropus (Indian hedgehog). RNAcentral's name for it is "tRNA-Ser". The record is from RNAcentral. Lineage: Eukaryota; Metazoa; Chordata; Mammalia; Eulipotyphla; Erinaceidae.
GAAAAAGACUGUAAGAACUGCUAAUUCUCAAUACCACAUCUAACAAAUGCGGCUUUUUCA